GAGGGCUCAGCCCCUCCCCCCGCUCCCCGCGGCCCCGCCCCCCGCGGCCAUGGAGCACUGAGGGGGCCCCGCCCCUCCCCCACCCGGAAAUGACGGCGGGGGUUGGGGUUAAAAAUUCGGGAAUUUAAAGGGUUAAAAUUUCGGGAAUUUAAAGGGUUAAAAAUUCGGGAAUUCCAAGGGUUAAAAAUUCGGGAAUUUAAAGGGUUAAAAUUUCAGGGAGUCAGAGCCGAAAUUUGGGAGUUUUGGGGUUAAAGUUUGGAUGAUUGGAGGUUAAAAUUCUGGAAUUUAAGGGGUUAAAAAUUCAGGGUGUUGGAGGCAAAAUUUGGGGGUUUUAGGGUUAAAAUCUGGGGGAUUUAUGGCCAAAAUUUUGGGGUUUAGUUCCAAAUUUUGCGAGUUUUAGGGUUAAAAUUUCAGGGGUUUAGGACCAAAAAUUUGGGAAUUUUAGGGUUAAAAUUUGGGGGAUUUAUGGCCAAAAUUCCACAUUUUUGCUCCCAAAUUCUGGAGUUUCAACACUGAAAAUUUCGGCAUUUUAGCCCCAAAAUUCCAGAAUUGUAACCCCAAAAUUCCGGAGUUUCAGCUCAAAAUUUCCGGGGUUUUAGGGCCAAAAUUCCGGCCCCAAAAUAGCACAAUUUUAACUGAAAAUUUCGGCGUUUUAGCCCCAAAAUUCCGGAUUUUCAACCCCAAAAAUUCCAAAAUUUCACUGCCUGGGGAUGAAUCCCGAACCCUCCCAAAAAUUCACACCUGGACACCCCAAAAUUUCAUCUGGGGACCCCAAAAAUUCACCUGG
This 787-nucleotide long non-coding RNA is filed under the name Junco hyemalis (dark-eyed junco). RNAcentral's name for it is "lncRNA (ENSJHYG00000008407.1)". Lineage: Eukaryota; Metazoa; Chordata; Aves; Passeriformes; Passerellidae. The record is from RNAcentral.